GGGGUUGUGGCUCAGUGGUAGAGCACUUGACUAGAGCAUGUAAGACACUGGUUUUAAUCCUCAGCCCCA
RNAcentral lists this transfer RNA (69 nucleotides) under Ictidomys tridecemlineatus (thirteen-lined ground squirrel). Its description in RNAcentral is "Spermophilus tridecemlineatus (thirteen-lined ground squirrel) tRNA". It matches the Rfam family "tRNA". Rfam says of the family: Transfer RNA (tRNA) molecules are approximately 80 nucleotides in length. The record is from Rfam by way of RNAcentral. Lineage: Eukaryota; Metazoa; Chordata; Mammalia; Rodentia; Sciuridae.